RNAcentral lists this ribosomal RNA (253 nucleotides) under uncultured bacterium. RNAcentral describes it as "partial 16S ribosomal RNA". It matches the Rfam family "Bacterial small subunit ribosomal RNA", at positions 524 to 776 of the family's 1533-position model. The record is from RNAcentral.
UACGUAGGGGGCGAGCGUUGUCCGGAUUUAUUGGGCGUAAAGAGCGUGUAGGCGGCCAGGUAGGUCUGCUGUGAAAACUGGAGGCUCAACUUCCAGACGUCGACGGAAACCGUGUGGCUAGAGUCCGGAAGAGGAGAGUGGAAUUCCUGGUGUAGCGGUGAAAUGCGCAGAUAUCAGGAAGAACACCAAUGGCGAAGGCAGCUCUCUGGGACGGUACUGACGCUGAGACGCGAAAGCGUGGGGAGCGAACAGG